AGUGGGGAAUAUUGGGCAAUGGGCGAAAGCCUGACCCAGCCAUGCCGCGUGAGUGACGACGGCCUUAGGGUUGUAAAGCUCUUUUGGCGGGGACGAUAAUGACGGUACCCGCAGAAUAAGCCCCGGCUAACUUCGUGCCAGCAGCCGCGGUAAUACGAAGGGGGCUAGCGUUGUUCGGAAUCACUGGGCGUAAAGCGCACGUAGGCGGACUUUCAAGUCAGGGGUGAAAUCCCGGGGCUCAACCUCGGAACUGCCUUUGAUACUGUUGGUCUCGAGUCCGGAAGAGGUGGGUGGAAUUCCUAGUGUAGAGGUGAAAUUCGUAGAUAUUAGGAAGAACACCGGUGGCGAAGGCGGCCCACUGGUCCGGUACUGACGCUGAGGUGCGAAAGCGUGGGGAGCAAA
RNAcentral lists this ribosomal RNA (402 nucleotides) under uncultured Pedomicrobium sp. Its description in RNAcentral is "bacterial SSU rRNA". It matches the Rfam family "Bacterial small subunit ribosomal RNA", at positions 353 to 772 of the family's 1533-position model. Lineage: Bacteria; Pseudomonadati; Pseudomonadota; Alphaproteobacteria; Hyphomicrobiales; Hyphomicrobiaceae. The record is from RNAcentral.